RNAcentral lists this ribosomal RNA (468 nucleotides) under uncultured bacterium. RNAcentral's name for it is "partial 16S ribosomal RNA". It matches the Rfam family "Bacterial small subunit ribosomal RNA", at positions 28 to 507 of the family's 1533-position model. The record is from RNAcentral.
GACGAACGCUGGCGGCGUGCUUAACACAUGCAAGUCGAACGGAAAGGCCCUGCUUUUGUGGGGUGCUCGAGUGGCGAACGGGUGAGUAACACGUGAGUAACCUGCCCUUGACUUUGGGAUAACGUCAGGAAACUGGGGCUAAUACCGGAUAGGAGCUCCUGCUGCAUGGUGGGGGUUGGAAAGUUUCGGCGGUUGGGGAGGGACUCGCGGCUUAUCAGCGUGCUGGUGGGGUAGAGGCUUACCAAGGCUUUGACGGGUAGCCGGCCUGAGAGGGUGACCGGCCACCUUGGGCCUGCGGUACGGCCCAGACUCCUACUGGGGGCAGCAGUGGCGAAUCUUGCCCAAUGGGCGGACGCCUGAUGCAGCAACGCCGCGUUUGUGAUGACGGCCUUCGGGUUGUAAACCGCUUUCGCCUGUGACGAAGCGUGAGUGACGGUAAUGGGUAAAGAAGCACCGGCUAACUACGUG